Molecule: ribosomal RNA, 489 nt
Filed under: uncultured bacterium
Lineage: Bacteria
Description: bacterial SSU rRNA
Rfam family: Bacterial small subunit ribosomal RNA
Source: RNAcentral
CUUAACACAUGCAAGUCGAACGAGGCGAUUGAAAGCUUGCUUUUGAAAGUCGAGUGGCAAACGGGUGAGUAACGCGUAGGCAACCUGCCUCUAGGAUGGGGACAACAGUCCGAAAGGACUGCUAAUACCGAAUGUUGUAUCAAUUCCGCAUGGAGUUGGUAUGAAAGAUGGCCUCUACUUGUAAGCUAUCACCUAGAGAUGGGCCUGCGUCUGAUUAGCUAGUUGGUGGGGUAACGGCCUACCAAGGCGAUGAUCAGUAGCCGGUCUGAGAGGAUGAACGGCCACAUUGGGACUGAGACACGGCCCAGACUCCUACGGGAGGCAGCAGUGGGGAAUCUUCCGCAAUGGGCGAAAGCCUGACGGAGCAAUGCCGCGUGAGUGAUGAAGGAAUUCGUUCCGUAAAGCUCUUUUGUUUAUGACGAAUGUGCAGAUUGUGAAUAAUGAUCUGUAAUGACGGUAGUAAACGAAUAAGCCACGGCUAACUACGUG